Molecule: ribosomal RNA, 1149 nt
Filed under: Triticum aestivum (bread wheat)
Lineage: Eukaryota; Viridiplantae; Streptophyta; Magnoliopsida; Poales; Poaceae
Description: partial small subunit ribosomal RNA
Source: RNAcentral
AUGCUGGAAGGGAAGCCCGUCCCAUACCAUCCGCCAAUUGGCGCCGGCGCCGGUUGUGGAGACGUAAAAGGGGCAUGGACGGGGCAGAAGAGGCACAAGUACGAAGCCCCAUCUCUUACAUCAUCUUCUGAUGCUUAUGGAGAGACGAUUGGCCAGGAUAACGAAGAACGUCCCAACGAGAUCGCCGAUUCACCAGAUGAGCUUGCGGGCCUGGAAAAUGAUAUCGUCAGCGAGGAGGAGUUCCUUGGAUGCCUUAAGGUUUUAACCACCAGGCGUGCUCCUAUGAUCAUCACAGGGCGCAGGCUGGACGAGGAACAUCAACGCAAGCUCUACGAGCGCCUCACUCUCUACCGUAUCAAAGCUCCCAAGUUGGCACAAGGAGUUUGCAUAGAUGAUCAGAAGGAUGUGACUUUGGGAAACGAGUACUCCCCAGACAAUCUGGAGGACCUGUUUGAUUACUAUAAGAAUGCUGAUUCUCUGGAUUGGUACUUUGACCGUGGCUACUCUUUGCUUGCUGACUUGGAUGACUACCAGAGCCUUGUCCUCAAAAAUGGAGACGAUGGUAGAAGGUUCUGUGAUUGGGAAACAUACCGCUCAUUGUUUACUAGCUAUGAAAUUGAUGAAGAGUAUGUAAAGCUCUUUGAAGAAAUAUCAAAGAAAAUCAAGUGGCUUAAACGUUAUAUGGAAUAUGAACGAGCAUCUUCCAAGUGGAAGGAGAUGGAUGAUAGAGGAUUCUGCCAAGCAGCGAAGAUUGCGGCAGGCUUUCCGCGCAUGAGCUAUAAGUUAACUUUAAUGGCCUAUGAGGACAUGGAUCGUCUCUUUUUUGAGAUUUGGAAGUUUGCUACUAAGAAAAUGGGUGCCACUGAUAAGAAGAUUGAUUUUAGGGCUGGUUUGGUUGACGUCUGUCGAAGGAAUAUAUUACCUCGAUAUAGAAAGAGAAUGGAAUUCGCACUGGAUCAUAGUAGUCUUUCUGAUUUGGAAUCAAAUUUUGAUACUUGCGUGGAAGACAUCCCUGAUGAUGCUACAGAGGACGGAGCAUGCCGUUUGAUUAGAUCGGCAGUAUGGAAUAAGCUUCAUAAACCCAUGAUGUGGCACGAGUAUAUUUUGAGGAAGAUGAAGAUUGCUAAACACAUUGGCCUGGGUCCAUAA